Molecule: transfer RNA, 74 nt
Filed under: Candidatus Opitulatrix roisinitermitis
Lineage: Bacteria; Bacillati; Actinomycetota; Actinomycetes; Bifidobacteriales; Bifidobacteriaceae
Description: tRNA-Met
Rfam family: tRNA
About the family: Transfer RNA (tRNA) molecules are approximately 80 nucleotides in length. Their secondary structure includes four short double-helical elements and three loops (D, anti-codon, and T loops).
Source: RNAcentral
GGCGGGGUAGCUCAGGUGGUUAGAGUGCACGACUCAUAAUCGUGAGGUCGGGAGUUCGAGUCUCCCCCUCGCUA